AGCUUGGGGCUGGACCCCAGCCUCCAGCCUCACCUCCUGCCGGCCUCUCUGCUUGCCCUCCCCGCCCCAGAGGGGGGGUGGGAGGCCUUGAGAUUGUCCCCGGUACCCCAAGGACGCCGAGGUUACGGGAAGUUUGGGGACUCGGACUUGGGAUGGAGUGAAUAUCAGACAGCUACAAGGAAGGAUUUAGAAGCAGGCCACUUGGCCACUUGGGAUUUACUAGCCAGCAGACUCCCUGGCUAGUUGAGUGUGUGAGUGUUUGCCUGUAACUGUACCUGUACACAUGCCUACUUGGUGGCCUAGGAGGCCAGAAGAAGGUGGUCAGAUCUCCUGGAACUGGAGUUAUAGGCGGUUGUGGGCCACCAUCUGGGUCCUGGGAUACUGAACCUGUGUCCUCUGCAAGAGCAGCAAGUGUUCUUAACGACUGAGCCAUUUCUUCGGCCCUCUUUCUUCAAUUCUCCAUUGUCCUGCUAGAAGGCAGAAUGACUUCGUCGACAACCUCAUGCAGGAGUGGAACCAAUCUCCUUCCCCGUGGGUGGCUGGGCAUGUAGCUUCCUCUUUCUGUCUUGAGUGUUGCCAAGGAAAAGGGGCUGCAGAUCUCCCCUGGAUUGCAGAGUGGGAGACAAAGCAAGGGCCCCAGAAGAGCUCUCUGGAUGCUCCUGGCUACUGAAUCAACCGCAGAGCGCCCUCUGGGGCUGGGGUCUGACACUGUUACCCCUCCUGGCCUUAUGGACGCAGAUCCAGCUCAGCCUCACAAUGAAUUCAAUGGUUCCUGAAAGCUUGUGCUCGGCCUGCCCACCUUCAUCCACAGGGCAACAUGGGAGCCAGACUUCUCUCUGUGGUAUAAGGCCCCAGUAUCCUGAGUUCUUCCAGGAGAAGGAAGAUGGCGAAGACAGUGAGGGAAGAGAGCAGACGUCUGACUCCGGGGUGCUUAUCUGUGUGGAAGAGACCGGUUCUUCCUGACUGGCUUCAUGUCCCUCAAGAUCCCAAAGAAGGCUAUGGCUAUUUCAAAGCCAGAGAAUAGGGGCAGAGACUCAGCAGCCUGCUCCUGGGUGCAAAGAGACAAGGCCAGGUGCAGCCUGUGCUCACAGUCUUGGAAGCUUGGUGGUGGUGGAGCCCCACUUUCUGUGUGCCUGUGUGUGCAUAUAUCUAUCUGCGCAUGUGUAUGGAGGCCAGAGGACAACCUUGACUGUCGUUCACAAAGUGCCUCUCACAUUUUGUUGUGCUGGAACUUCGCCUAAGAAGUGGGUUAAACUGGCCAGUAAGCCUCAGGAGUGCUUCCGUCUCCACCUUCUCAGUGCUGAGAUUACAAACUGGAGCCUUGUGUCUGGCCUUCAACGUGGAUUCUCAGGAUCCAAGGAUCCAACAUUGGGCUCCCAUGCUAACAAGGUGUUCUCCUGGCUCUUCAAGUAUUUACCCGUCUGUGUGUGACUCAUAUCCAGGAACCCAGGCAGCUUCCCUCAAUAGAUUGCUGGCUUCAGAAGAUGAGCCUCCCCUGCCGCUCCACAAGGCUCAAGUGCUUCAAUGAAAUAAAAGAGAACUGAAAUAAAAGAGAAA
This 1557-nucleotide long non-coding RNA is filed under the name Mus musculus (house mouse). Its description in RNAcentral is "frizzled class receptor 10, opposite strand". Lineage: Eukaryota; Metazoa; Chordata; Mammalia; Rodentia; Muridae. The record is from RNAcentral.